UACGGGGGGGGCUAGCGUUGUUCGGAAUUACUGGGCGUAAAGGGCGCGUAGGCGGCCUACUAAGUCGGACGUGAAAUCCCUCGGCUCAACCGGGGAACUGCGUCCGAUACUGGUGGGCUCGAAUCCGGGAGAGGGAUGUGGAAUUCCAGGUGUAGCGGUGAAAUGCGUAGAUAUCAGGAGGAACACCAAUGGCGAAGGCAGCUCACUGGGACGGUAUUGACGCUGAGACGCGAAAGCGUGGGGAGCAAACAGG
Molecule: ribosomal RNA, 253 nt
Filed under: uncultured bacterium
Lineage: Bacteria
Description: partial 16S ribosomal RNA
Rfam family: Bacterial small subunit ribosomal RNA
Source: RNAcentral